GUGGGGGAUAUUGCACAAUGGGCGCAAGCCUGAUGCAGCGACGCCGCGUGGGCGAAGAAGUAUUUCGGUAUGUAAAGCCCUAUCAGCAGGGAAGAAAAUGACGGUACCUGACUAAGAAGCUCCGGCUAAAUACGUGCCAGCAGCCGCGGUAAUACGUAUGGAGCAAGCGUUAUCCGGAUUUACUGGGUGUAAAGGGAGCGUAGGCGGUAAGGCAAGUCUGAUGUGAAAGGCCAGGGCUCAACCCUGGGACUGCAUUGGAAACUGUUUAACUGGAGUGUCGGAGGGGCAAGUGGAAUUCCUAGUGUAGCGGUGAAAUGCGUAGAUAUUAGGAGGAACACCAGUGGCGAAGGCGGCUUGCUGGACGAUGACUGACGCUGAGGCUCGAAAGCGUGGGGAGCAAACAGGA
Molecule: ribosomal RNA, 406 nt
Filed under: uncultured bacterium
Lineage: Bacteria
Description: bacterial SSU rRNA
Rfam family: Bacterial small subunit ribosomal RNA
Source: RNAcentral